Molecule: ribosomal RNA, 483 nt
Filed under: uncultured bacterium
Lineage: Bacteria
Description: partial 16S ribosomal RNA
Rfam family: Bacterial small subunit ribosomal RNA
Source: RNAcentral
AUUGAACGCUAGCGGGAUGCUUUACACAUGCAAGUCGAACGGCAGCGCGGACUUCGGUCUGGCGGCGAGUGGCGAACGGGUGAGUAAUGUAUCGGAACGUGCCCAGUAGCGGGGGAUAACUACGCGAAAGCGUAGCUAAUACCGCAUACGCCCUACGGGGGAAAGCAGGGGAUCGUAAGACCUUGCACUAUUGGAGCGGCCGAUAUCGGAUUAGCUAGUUGGUGAGGUAACGGCUCACCAAGGCGACGAUCCGUAGCUGGUUUGAGAGGACGACCAGCCACCCUGGGCCGGGGACCCGGCCCAGCCCCCUACGGGAGGCAGCAGUGGGGAUUUUUGGACAAUGGGGGCAACCCUGACCCAGCCAUCCCGCGUGUGCGAUGAAGGCCUUCGGGUUGUAAAGCACUUUUGGCAGGAAAGAAACGUCGCGGGCUAACACCCCGUGGAACUGACGGUACCUGCAGAAUAAGCCCCGGCUAACUACGU